RNAcentral lists this ribosomal RNA (528 nucleotides) under Pezizomycotina sp. RNAcentral's name for it is "SSU rRNA". It matches the Rfam family "Eukaryotic small subunit ribosomal RNA", at positions 34 to 566 of the family's 1831-position model. The record is from RNAcentral. Lineage: Eukaryota; Fungi; Ascomycota.
GUCUCAAAGAUUAAGCCAUGCAUGUCUAAGUAUAAGCAACUAUACGGUGAAACUGCGAAUGGCUCAUUAAAUCAGUUAUCGUUUAUUUGAUAGUACCUUACUACAUGGAUAACCGUGGUAAUUCUAGAGCUAAUACAUGCUAAAAACCUCGACUUCGGAAGGGGUGUAUUUAUUAGAUAAAAAACCAAUGCCCUUCGGGGCUCCUUGGUGAAUCAUAAUAACUUAACGAAUCGCAUGGCCUUGCGCCGGCGAUGGUUCAUUCAAAUUUCUGCCCUAUCAACUUUCGAUGGUAGGAUAGUGGCCUACCAUGGUAUCAACGGGUAACGGGGAAUUAGGGUUCGACUCCGGAGAGGGAGCCUGAGAAACGGCUACCACAUCCAAGGAAGGCAGCAGGCGCGCAAAUUACCCAAUCCCGACACGGGGAGGUAGUGACAAUAAAUACUGAUACAGGGCUCUUUUGGGUCUUGUAAUUGGAAUGAGUACAAUUUAAAUCCCUUAACGAGGAACAAUUGGAGGGCAAGUCUGGUG